AAAGAUCGAAUGGGGAGAUUCAUCGACAACGAGGCUGGCUUCCGUUGAUGCGCGAUGCCCCGAAUGGACCUUCGUGGUUCCAAUGCGAGGGCACACCAUCUUCGGCAAAUGUUCCGGCUACGUAAUCGUGCACUUCUCCCCUGGUAGAACGUCGCGACCCGUUGCGUGUCGGUCUACGGCUCGAGUUUGUUGACUGCCGUGUCGCUUCGGGCGUACACGGUAGACGCUCGAACGCCUGGCCGGCUGUGCGACGGUACGCUGUGACGGUAUCGGGCCGCAACCAAUCCAUUUUCGAAUGUGAGUGUGCGUCGGGCCCGCCGCAAGCUCGGUUAGUAAUUACCCAGAUGGUACGGACCUGGUGCCGGCUCUGGGCCUAACCAGCUGUUAGCAGGCGGUGUCCUCGGACUGGCCAAGCUUUGAAUUACCGGUCAGCGACGCUACUGCUUUGGGUACUCUCAGGACCCGUCUUGAAACACGGACCAAGGAGUCUAACAUGUGCGCGAGUCAUUGGGACUCGUUUAAACCUAAAGGCAUAAUGAAAGUGAAAGUUGACCUUUGCGUCGACCGAGGGAGGAUGGGCCGCGUCACGAUGCGGCCUCGCACUCCCGGGGCGUCUCGUUCUCAUUGCGAGAAAAG
This 636-nucleotide ribosomal RNA is filed under the name Caenaugochlora inermis. RNAcentral describes it as "eukaryotic LSU rRNA". The record is from RNAcentral. Lineage: Eukaryota; Metazoa; Arthropoda; Insecta; Hymenoptera; Halictidae.